UACGUAGGUGGCAAGCGUUGUCCGGAUUUACUGGGCGUAAAGAGCGCGCAGGCGGUCGGUCAAGUCGAGUGUGAAAGCCCCCGGCUCAACUGGGGAGGGUCACUCGAUACUGAUCGACUCGAAGGCAGAAGAGGGAAGCGGAAUUCCCGGUGUAGUGGUGAAAUGCGUAGAUAUCGGGAGGAACACCAGUGGCGAAGGCGGCUUUCUGGUCUGCUCUUGACGCUGAGGCGCGAAAGCUAGGGUAGCAAACGGG
RNAcentral lists this ribosomal RNA (253 nucleotides) under uncultured bacterium. Its description in RNAcentral is "partial 16S ribosomal RNA". It matches the Rfam family "Bacterial small subunit ribosomal RNA", at positions 524 to 776 of the family's 1533-position model. The record is from RNAcentral.